ACCCUAUUCUUUCUUGGGGUACAGGAGCCCAUGAGGAAAACUCCCUGGACGUGGAAAACUGUAUGAGCUUCCAGGGUAAAAGGAUAAACAGUAAUCUGAAAACUAACAGGCAUUUAUAAUAAACAACGCGCUAGAAACCCGUGCUGGGAGCACUGGAGAUGGAGGCUCCUGAAAGUGCCAACCUUCAGUUUGGAUCUGAGGCUUCAUGCACAGGCUGUCUGGUCUACGGGCAGGCUCCCCAUCAAAAGGCCAAGAUGACUGCCAAGCGUCCUGCUGAUUCAGAUUACUCAGAUGAAGUCUCCCAUUACUGCUGAUCUUCAACCCCCAUUUGAUUCUCCUCAUGCUUCGUUAGCCUCCUGCCCAUUCCUAAAUCAACCAGGAGUAGGGGGAGGCUCCAAGUGACAUCUGGAAUCUCCAUCUUCUGUGGGAAGCUCUUUAAGUUAGACAAGUGCUGUGAGCGACAAAAGGAAGAAAGCCAAUUAUGGCUUGGUGGAGUCUUGUCUCAGGUAUGUUGGAGGAAUGUGCAAGGUUCACAGCUCUCUGCUGUUGUCAUUUUGAUGCUAUGUUCACAGACAGCCACUAGAUCAGCAUGGCUGCAGAAAUAUUUCAGCACAAAAGGCAUUUUUCCAACACUACUAUGGGGUGUGAGGGGCACCUGACUGAUUAAAGAAGGGCUGUUGGGGCGGGGCUGUUAACCUAAGUGAUCACUGUCAAGUUUGCCAGAGGUGGCAGACCACUCCCUUCCCAGACACCCAGAACAUUCCUACAAAAGUCAGGUAGCUAAAC
Molecule: long non-coding RNA, 786 nt
Organism: Rattus norvegicus (Norway rat)
Lineage: Eukaryota; Metazoa; Chordata; Mammalia; Rodentia; Muridae
Exons: 3
Source: RefSeq, marked validated